Molecule: ribosomal RNA, 261 nt
Filed under: uncultured bacterium
Lineage: Bacteria
Description: partial 16S ribosomal RNA
Rfam family: Bacterial small subunit ribosomal RNA
Source: RNAcentral
AGUGGCGGACGGGUGAGUAACGCGUGGGGCAACCUGCCCUGUACCGGGGGAUAACAGCCGGAAACGGCUGCUAAUACCGCAUAAGCGCACGAGAGCGCAUGCUUUUGUGUGAAAAACUCCGGUGGUACGGGAUGGGCCCGCGUCUGAUUAGCUUGUUGGCGGGGUAGAAGCCCACCAAGGCGACGAUCAGUAGCCGACCUGAGAGGGUGACCGGCCACAUUGGGACUGAGACACGGCCCAAACUCCUACGGAAGGCAGCAG